GGCAGAGGAGCCUGCAGGAGGAAGGAUGAUGCAGUUCUGUUCCCAGAUGGAGGCUUUCUCCGCUGCCUCAGAUGCUGGGGUCAGAGGAGGACAAGGAGCUGAAUCUCCUCCGAAGCUCACAAGUGCUGCAGCAGCCUGGGAUGGCUCCCACCCCACAGACCCGCUGCUGCUCCAGAGGAGGAGGGAUUCAGGGAUGCCCCCAGGCACAGGAACCCCAUUUCCAGCUGUUCUCUGCAAACGGUGCUUGGGGAGCACCUCAGGAAUGGGAUUUUCUGGACAGAUGACCAAUAAAAAAACAUUAUGAGCC
This is a non-coding RNA of Lonchura striata (white-rumped munia), 307 nucleotides long. The record is from RefSeq and is a predicted model, not a curated record. Lineage: Eukaryota; Metazoa; Chordata; Aves; Passeriformes; Estrildidae.